GGGGAGCAAUCCCUGAGUACAGCGGCGUACGGGUGAGUAACACGUGGAUGAUCUACCUUCUAGUGGGGAAUAACCCUGGGAAACCGGGGCUAAUACCGCAUAAGCCUGUGAAGGGAAAGCAGCAAUGCGCUGGAAGAGGAGUCCGCGGCCGAUUAGCUAGUUGGUGAGGUAAUGGCCCACCAAGGCGACGAUCGGUAGCCGGCCUGAGAGGGCACACGGCCACACUGGCACUGAAACACGGGCCAGACUCCUACGGGAGGCAGCAGUGGGGAAUCUUGCACAAUGGAGGCAACUCUGAUGCAGCGACGCCGCGUGAGCGAUGAAGCCCUUCGGGGUGUAAAGCUCUUUCGGCAGGAACGAUAAUGACGGUACCUGAAGAAGAAGCUGCGGCUAACUACGUGCCAGCAGCCGCGGUAAUACGUAGGCAGCGAGCGUUGUUCGGAAUUACUGGGCGUAAAGAGUGUGUAGGCGGUGCUCUAAGUUCGGUGUGAAAUCUCCCGGCUUAACUGGGAGGGUGCGCCGGAAACUGGAGUGCUCGAGCGUGGGAGAGGAAAGCGGAAUUCCUGGUGUAGCGGUGAAAUGCGUAGAUAUCAGGAGGAACACCUGCGGUGUAGACGGCUUUCUGGACCAUUGCUGACGCUGAGACACGAAAGCGUGGGUAGCAAACAGGAUUAGAUACCCUGGUAGUCCACGCCCUAAACGAUGCAUACUUGGUGUCGGCCAUUCAGUUGGUCGGUGCCGGAGCUAACGCGUUAAGUAUGCCGCCUGGGGAGUACGGUCGCAAGGCUGAAACUC
This 795-nucleotide ribosomal RNA is filed under the name uncultured Bacillota bacterium. Its description in RNAcentral is "bacterial SSU rRNA". It matches the Rfam family "Bacterial small subunit ribosomal RNA", at positions 74 to 902 of the family's 1533-position model. The record is from RNAcentral. Lineage: Bacteria; Bacillati; Bacillota.